AUGUGUUGCAAGCGGAUAUACUUG
This 24-nucleotide non-coding RNA is filed under the name Arabidopsis thaliana (thale cress). The record is from RNAcentral. Lineage: Eukaryota; Viridiplantae; Streptophyta; Magnoliopsida; Brassicales; Brassicaceae.